This 397-nucleotide ribosomal RNA is filed under the name uncultured bacterium. RNAcentral's name for it is "partial 16S ribosomal RNA". It matches the Rfam family "Bacterial small subunit ribosomal RNA", at positions 523 to 918 of the family's 1533-position model. The record is from RNAcentral.
AUACGUAGGUGGCGAGCGUUGUCCGGAAUUACUGGGCGUAAAGGAUGCGUAGGUGGAUAUUUAAGUGGGAUGUGAAAUCCCCGGGCUCAACCCGGGAACUGCAUUCCAAACUGGGUAUCUAGAGUGCAGGAGAGGAAAGCGGAAUUCCUAGUGUAGCGGUGAAAUGCGUAGAUAUUAGGAGGAACACCAGUGGCGAAGGCGGCUUUCUGGACUGUAACUGACACUGAGGCAGGAAAGCGUGGGUAGCAAACAGAAUUAGAUCCCCUGGUAGUCCACGCCGUAAACGAUGGGUACUAGGUGUAGGAGGUAUCGACCCCUUCUGUGCCGUCGUUAACACAAUAAGUACCCCGCCUGGGGAGUACGGUCGCAAGACUAAAACUCAAAUGAAUUGACGGGG